AACCCAUGGUGAGGGCACCUUCUCAAUAGAUCUCUCCCAUGCAUCAUAAAGUGUUUCUAAAUCCAUCUACACAAAAGAAGAGAUAUCAUUCCUUAAUUU
Molecule: non-coding RNA, 99 nt
Organism: Gossypium hirsutum (cotton)
Lineage: Eukaryota; Viridiplantae; Streptophyta; Magnoliopsida; Malvales; Malvaceae
Source: Rfam